RNAcentral lists this ribosomal RNA (497 nucleotides) under uncultured bacterium. Its description in RNAcentral is "partial 16S ribosomal RNA". It matches the Rfam family "Bacterial small subunit ribosomal RNA", at positions 28 to 507 of the family's 1533-position model. The record is from RNAcentral.
GAUGAACGCUGGCGGCGUGCCUAAUACAUGCAAGUCGAGCGAACGGACGAGAAGCUUGCUUCUCUGAUGUUAGCGGCGGACGGGUGAGUAACACGUGGAUAACCUACCUAUAAGACUGGGAUAACUUCGGGAAACCGGAGCUAAUACCGGAUAAUAUUUUGAACCGCAUGGUUCAAAAGUGAAAGACGGUCUUGCUGUCACUUAUAGAUGGUUCCGCGCUGCAUUAGCUAGUUGGUAAGGUAACGGCUUACCAAGGCAACGAUGCAUAGCCGACCUGAGAGGGUGAUCGGCCACACGGGAACUGAGACACGGUCCAGACUCCUACGGGAGGCAGCAGUAGGGAAUCUUCCGCAAUGGGCGAAAGCCUGACGGAGCAACGCCGCGUGAGUGAUGAAGGUCUUCGGAUCGUAAAACUCUGUUAUUAGGGAAGAACAUAUGUGUAAGUAACUGUGCACAUCUUGACGGUACCUAAUCAGAAAGCCACGGCUAACUACGUG